Long non-coding RNA from Protopterus annectens (West African lungfish), 2840 nucleotides. RefSeq lists it as uncharacterized. NCBI's taxonomy places the organism in Eukaryota, Metazoa, Chordata, Ceratodontiformes, Protopteridae. The transcript is spliced from 3 exons. The record is from RefSeq and is a predicted model, not a curated record.
ACAUUAACAUAAACUGUCAGUCAUUUGUGCAUCUACAUCUCUUUUGUUAACUGUUAUUUAAGUAAAUCACACUGAAGAUAUAACAACAUAAACUGUCAGUCAUUUGUGCAUCUGCAUCUCUUUUGUUAACUGUUAUUUAAGUAAAUCACACUGAAGAUAUAACAUUAACAUAAACUGUCAGUCAUUUGUGCAUCUGCAUCUCUUUUGUUAACUGUUAUUUAAGUAAAUCACACUGAAGAUAUAACAUUAAAAUAAACUGUCAGUCAUUUGUGCAUCUACAUCUCUUUUGUUAACUGUUACUGAAGUAAAUCACACUGAAGAUAUAACAUUAACAUAAACUGUCAGUCAUUUUGAUUAGCUAGCUGUACAUAAACAACAUGAAUCAAAUAAGAUAAUCGACAGUUGUCAUUCUGAAAAGUAAGAGUCCAACAUAGGGACAACAUUGUUCUCUAUCAUAUAUUUAUCAAAUGAAGAGAGAGAGAAAAAAGAAAAAAAAAACACAUCUUAUUCUUACUGUAUUGUAACUCUAUAUAAAAAGAGGUAUAAACAUAAAAACAGAAAAUUAAUUAACUUUCCUAAUGAAUAUGUUAGGUCCUUCAUUAUUUAUAUACUUCAGGUCACCUCUAUCUCCUAAUAUUAUAAAAUGAUGUCUAACUAGUGUAGCAUAUAGCUAAGUCACAUCUAAUUAAUAAUAUAUGAGUUUAAUUAUAUGUUCUAUUUAUAUAGAAUGUUAAUUAUAAUUUCUAUAUAUGUAUCCCUCACUAACAUUAAAAAAAACUCUACAUGUCCUUUCAGAUUAGUUCUGAAAUAGUAAACCAAUACCUACUUAUUUAAAAAAAACAAAAAAAAAGGAAAAGAAAAAGAAACAAAUAUUCCCUGUACCCCAAUUAUUUAUUAUAUACUACAAGUCUUUUUUUGUUAUAUGAAAAGUAGGUAUAAUCAAAUGUUCCUAUGUGCUUAAAGUGCUGUAAAACAUCAGCUUUUAAUGUUAAUCAUACUUCCAAUGCUUAAAACAGUUGACUUCAGAUUUCCAAGCCUGGAAACCUUACAGAACGCUCACGAUGGGGGACAGUUAAUGCAGACGGACUUCCGGAAGCGCCAUACUUUCCCUCAGCAGCAUCCAAGGCAUUUCCUGUCUCCUCGUCAAUGUAAACACUUCGUGAAAGUCAUAAAACUUCAGAAAACAGACACAAAUAACCAGGAUCAACAAAACAAAGCCCUUAUCUAUUCCAAAAGAGGCCUAAAGCAUUUAAAAUGAAAACAAAGGAUUACCAAGACCUCGAGCCACAGCAACAGAUGAAUCCAACCUCGGACAGCAUGUUAGUCUCAACGGAAAGCCAGAUCAAGUCUCAGAAGCAGAUGGAACAACCUUUACAAUAACAAAAAGUUGGAGCACACAGACAAUACUUACAGACCUGAUGGACAGGCCUGAUGGAGAUGAGUCAUACAAAUGAUCUUCCAGGGUAACUCCCUGAACAAGCCACUUGUAGCUCCUGCCAUGUCCUGGAAAAUAUUCCACAUCAUGUCCCUCAUCUGUGUUCAAGGCACAUCAUUCGCACUCUCCUGGACCUACUCCAGAUAAUCAUCUGUCUGUUGUUCCUCGCAUUGUCUGCUCCAGGGUGCAUCAGGGAUGAUGGCACAUGCAGGUGCAGAUAACGCACCAGCUCUUAGAAAUAGUAUCACCACCCAAACUAAUCAGAGACUGCUUCGGUUCUCUAAUAAACUUCAAAUUCUUACAAUCAAAACCAACAACACAGCAGGAGUAUCUCAGUAUCCAGUCGGACUAUCCUGGUCAACAAAUGUAAAAUAAAUAAAUAAAUGUAAGCACAUGUCCAAGUUCCAGUUUCACCGAUACCAUUUUCUCAGAAUAUGCUGAUGUUUUAGACAACAAGUUGGGCAAACUUCCAUUUGUCUUCUCCAUGAAAAUAGACCCAGAGGUCAGUCCAGUGGUCAGACCGUCGAGAAGAAUUCCAGUAGCCACACAGAAUAAAGUCAAGGUCCAAUUGGAUAAAAUGGUGCAGCAAGAACCAAUCAAAUGGGUGUCUUCCAUGGUAGCUGCUUAUAAAAAGAGUUCAGAUGAAAUCAGAAUAUGAUUUGAUCCAAGAGAAUAAGGCAUAAAAGAGACCCCAUCAUCCUAUGCAUACAGUAGAAGAGGUUGCUGCUCUAAUGCCAAGUGCCACUGUUUUUUCUGCUUUGGAUGCAAAGAGUUCAUUUUGGAAAGUGAUGCUUGAUUGCAAAUCUUCAAUACUGACUAUAUUCACUACCCUAUUUGGCAGAUACUGAUUCUUUAGGAUGCCUUUUGGUAUAAAUUCUGCAAGUGAAGUCUUUCAGCAUGCAAUGGAACAAUUUUUUUGGGUUAUCCAUGUGCCAUUAUUGUUGAUGAUUUACUGGUUGGAGGCAAUGGAGAAGCAGAGCAUGGCCAAAACCUCAGAAAAGUUCUGGACAGAGCAUGUGACGUGAACUUGAAGCUCAGUCCUCUUAAGUGUAAAUUCAGGCUUCCAGAAGUCGCACAUGUAGGUCAUUUAUUUACCAGUGCUGGCUUAUGACCUGACCCAUCUAAACAAGCAGCCAUUCUUGAGAUGCAGGCUCCAGACAACAUCCAACCUUACAGCAUUUCCUUAGUAUGGUUAAGUACUUGGGCAAGUUUAUACCUGAUUUUAGUGAGUUAUCAGCACCUUUAAGAGAGCUGACAUGCAAAAAUGUUGCUUGGUUGUGGUUGGAACAGCACCACAUAACAUUGGGCAACCUUAAGCAGAGAAUUUUCAGCCCACCUACAUUGCAAUGCUAUGAUGUCAAUAAACCAGUUAUUCUUACUUGUGAUGCUUCAAAGUUUGGUCUAG